GCAGCGAUGCCGCGUGAGUGAAGAAGGCCCUUGGGUUGUAAAGCUCUUUCGUCGGGGAAGAAAAUGACUGUACCCGAAUAAGAAGGUCCGGCUAACUUCGUGCCAGCAGCCGCGGUAAUACGAAGGGACCUAGCGUAGUUCGGAAUUACUGGGCUUAAAGAGUUCGUAGGUGGUUAAAAAAGUUGGUGGUGAAAUCCCAGAGCUUAACUCUGGAACUGCCAUCAAAACUUUUUAGCUAGAGUAUGAUAGAGGAAAGCAGAAUUUCUAGUGUAGAGGUGAAAUUCGUAGAUAUUAGAAAGAAUACCAAUUGCGAAGGCAACUUUCUGGAUCAUUACUGACACUGAGGAACGAAAGCAUGGGUAGCGAAGAGGAUUAGAUACCCUCGUAGUCCAUGCCGUAAACGAUGUGUGUUAGACGUUGGAAAUUUAUUUUCAGUGUCGCAGCGAAAGCAAUAAACACACCGCCUGGGGAGUACGACCGC
RNAcentral lists this ribosomal RNA (481 nucleotides) under uncultured Pelagibacterales bacterium. RNAcentral's name for it is "bacterial SSU rRNA". It matches the Rfam family "Bacterial small subunit ribosomal RNA", at positions 388 to 889 of the family's 1533-position model. The record is from RNAcentral. Lineage: Bacteria; Pseudomonadati; Pseudomonadota; Alphaproteobacteria; Candidatus Pelagibacterales.